Triticum urartu is the source of this 1525-nucleotide non-coding RNA. Lineage: Eukaryota; Viridiplantae; Streptophyta; Magnoliopsida; Poales; Poaceae. The record is from RefSeq and is a predicted model, not a curated record.
UUGUAGCUCGGAAAGGUAUCCUAUCCAACGUCGCUCUCGCCUGUGGUCCUCGCGGUCUUCUUCUUCCGGUGAGCGGCUGAACUGCUCCAUCGUUUUGCCCUGCGACGUCUCGUGCAAGGCAGUUCUCGGCGACGGCGACGGCGACGUCUCCACCCCCGUGUUGUCCCGUCCUCCGUCCGCACCUGCACGUCUCCACCCACGUGUUGUCCCGUUGUCGAUACUGCUGGCGUCGGUAACUGGCACGGUGGGGCUUGGUUUGCCUCGGAGUCGGAGGAUCGACGGGCGCCGGUACGGGUUCUUGGCAGCGACCGAUCGAUCUCGGCCGGGCUGGAUCGCCGUACGCGCAGCAGCCGUUGCGCCGGUCUCCCUCCGGACUGGACCUGGCCCCCGACCGGAUCUGCGCGGCACGAGCGAAAGCCGCAUGGAUCGGCAGCGACAAAUUCUCCAGGUGGAAUAUGUUCCAAUGCGUGAUGUUCGUGUCAAAUUUCAGCUUUGUUCGGACAUCUAAGGAGCUUAUGACAAAAAAGACAAAUCGGUCAAACAAUACAUGAACAAUGCACCUGAGAGUCAAAACGCAGCAUCCGCAUCCGGUUGAUCGACACUGCACCACAUGAGCCAUGCCGGGCAGCCGGGCAGGGGCUACGGAGCACGGGCGAUACGUAACCUGUUGUGUGUGGCGGUGUCUCGUCGAUGGCCAAAUGAUCGGCGCACGAGCACGCACGCACGCGCGCCACACUUGAUUGCCUGCUGCUUGCGUCGCCAUGGCAACGUACGUCUCCUAGCUCCCGCAUCGUCCCGUCCUCUGUCCGCACCUGCACCACGCGCCGAUGAAGAUUACGUCCUGUCCAUACGGGUCGGCACCGGCACCGGCACGGUCGUCUUCUUCCGCUCCGAGACGGGCUUGCGUUGGUACGGGCUUGGCGCUGGACCGAUGGAUGGAUCGCCGUACGUUGCGGUUGUCUCUGUUCAUCUCUCCCCGGACUGGACCGGCCCCCGACCGGACCUGCAGACGCGAGCGAAAACCGCAUCGACCGGCAGCAAGCCAUUACUGGGCCGCAUGCAGGUGGAGUUAACGACGGAGCCGGCCACUGGGACGACGAUGGUACAUGCUACUCCCUCCAUUUCGAAUUAUUUAUCGUAAGUACGAAUGUAUCUAGAUAUAUUUUAAUUUUAGAUACAUCCGUUUCUACGAUGAGUAAUCUGGAACGGAGGGGGAGUACCUAGCAUGUAUACUACACCUAAGCCCGGUAGUUUGGUUAUCCUUUUCUCUGGGCGACAAAUUUAUCCAGCGAUCCGCAUGUGCUGUUUUGUGCCAGCGAACAAGUGCUUGACUUGGAACAGAACAAAGCGAGUAGUACGUGGUAAUAACCUUCGUCCUCGUUUAUUAGUCUCCUUGUAUAUAUAUAGGGCCACCCAUGAUUUUAGCAACUAAUAUAAAACAUCAAUUAUGUGUAGCAAAAACAAUAUAGUUGAAAACAAUGUUGAAAUCUGAAUCCAACGAUAUAAUGUGUGAAGGGCUAGCUAG